Molecule: small RNA, 28 nt
Filed under: Arabidopsis thaliana (thale cress)
Lineage: Eukaryota; Viridiplantae; Streptophyta; Magnoliopsida; Brassicales; Brassicaceae
Description: ATSL130500
Source: RNAcentral
GAAUCCUCUUUGUUCCUUCUUCUUCUUU